GGGCGGCGGGCGCCGCGCGGCAGUGUCGCGGAGAGCGGCGCGCGGAGUGGGCUGCACUUAGUACUGUUGCGAGAUGCGUACGAGCUUGUGGGCCUCGGCGGCGGCCGCGCUGCUGACGCUGACAGCAGCCUCACCGCGAAGACUCGACCAGGACUUUGAGUUCGACGAUACUCCGGAGGCACCGCUGACGCAUGCGCGCCGACCUCGCAGAUAUGUUUAUGAUCCUGAAAAUCCAAUGUGUCGUACACUCGUUUGUAAAAAGCGCGAAGUCUGUCUUUUGCGCGACGCUUUCACCGCUCUGUGCUCAAACAAGAAAGACGUACUACGCAGAGGGGAUAUAAUAGUAGCGGGCACAGUCAGCGCCUGGGACCGGGGUGAUGACGAAGACGUGUUUUACGAAACACGUUCCUCGGAUCACACUUCAUCCGUACACUCUUCUUCCGAUAGAUGCGUGGGCUGCGGCGGGGCCGCCCGUGCCGCCUUCCUGUGCGGCUCCGACAACCGCACGUACUCGUCGCUGUGCCGCCUGGACCUGCACAACUGCGUGCACCGCACGGCGCCGCCCGUGCGACUCGCCUGCCGCGGGUUCUGUCCGUGCGCGCGCACGCCGCGCCCCGCGCACGCGCCUCGCCCGCACCGCGUCCGCGCCGCCUACGACGAGGAUCGACGACGUCGCCGCCUCGAAUCACAAAAUGAAGUCUUGCCAGAACGCUCAUUCCGGCGACAGUCACAAGACGCGGAAGGUUGCGCUUUGGAUAAAAUGGCCAACCGUCUGUUGGACUGGUUCUCGGUGCUGAUGGAUGAAGCCGGCGGUAUUCCACCACCACAGGAAGGUUUUCCCCACGACUGCAAGGCUGAAGUUCGCUGGAUGUUCUCACAUCUAGACGCAGCCGGCGACGGUAUUCUGUCGUCCGCCGAUCUCUACGCCCUACGGCACGACGAGCGCGAGCGCUGCCUGCGGCCCUUCCUGGCGUCGUGCGGGGGCGCGGGCGAGGCGGGCGCGGCGGGCGCGGCGGGCGCGGCGGGCCUGUCGCGCGCCGCGUGGUGCGCGUGCCUGCGCCGCGCCGCGCGCCCGUGCGCCGCGCUGGCUCGGGCGCACCCCGCUCCGCCGCCAGGCGCCUACGUGCCGUCGUGCGACGCGCGCGGGUUCUACCGCCCGCGGCAGUGCCACGCGGCGCUGGGCGUGUGCUGGUGCGUGGACGCGCACGGCGUGGAGCGCGUCGGCUCGCGCACGAAGGGGGCGCCGCUGUGUCCCGGCGAAAACGAGACCAACGACGCCUCCAGCGACGAGACGAGCGAGAGCGAGGGCGGCGGGGAGGCGCGCGCGGGGGAGGGCGGGCCGGACGACGACGAGGACGCGCCGGGCAGCGGCGACCGCGAAAACGAGCUGCGGUUCUAGUUACACGCUCGCGGGGCGUUAUGCCGCCAACCUAUUGUGCGGCUCAAAAAUUUUAUCGUUAACAAUGGUUUUCUGCACAGGAAGAUCCCACGUCACUUGCUGGGAAAAUGAAGACUACAUCAUAAAGAACCCAUUAACGUAAUUUCGUUAAUUUAUUUAGAAUGAAUAGAUGGUAGACAUCAGUUUGAAUAUGGCAAUAUGAACAAGUACUUAAUAUUAUACUUUUUAACUUCUAAACGACAAAACUGUAUAAAAAUGUACCUAUUGAAAAACAGGCCUAUUAAAAUAUUUAUUUUUCAGUACAAACACAAAACGUAAGAAAUCACGAGAAUGUUUUCAUAAGUAUCUUAAGAUAUAAUACUAAGUUCAUUUGUUAAUAAAAUAACGUUUUUACAACUACUAGGAGCUUAAUGACCAUAAUUGUAUUGUGAUUCAAUAAUAUUACAGUCGGAGUAAUAACUUGGUUAGUUUAAAUGCCGAAAAUUAUAAAUCCUUAAACAGGCCUAAAUAAAGAAGAAAUUGCCCCAUGAUUUUAAUAUAUCUUAUCCAAUGAUUGAUCCUAACGUCUUUAGCCUUUAUAAAUUAAUCAUAGUAUUUAAAAACAAUAACUUAUCAAACAUUAAAAAUAUUUCGAAUAAACAUUAUAUAAUUGUGUAACAAGCUUGUGAAUGUUUAACUAGCUUGUAAUAUAGAGCUAGGACAAAAACACCUAGGCCAUAGUAUUUCAUACUAACUUCAUAUUGCACCCUUAUUUAUUAUAUUUUUAUUAUAUACUAAUAAUAUUUA
This is an RNA transcript of Nymphalis io (European peacock), 2185 nucleotides long. It is a transcript of the gene named proteoglycan Cow, with no coding region annotated. Lineage: Eukaryota; Metazoa; Arthropoda; Insecta; Lepidoptera; Nymphalidae. The transcript is spliced from 12 exons. The record is from RefSeq and is a predicted model, not a curated record.